UUCCCACCUUGGAAGUCCUGCAGCUUUAUCAUCAACUUUUCCUCAUUUUCUUUCUGCUCUCUCUCAGUGUCCUCCUUGCAGGCUUCUCCAUGUGCUUUUGCCCCCGUCACUUCUCUUUCCUCUACCUGGAUUGAGAGCCCAUUAGCUACCUACAUACCCUCUCUGUCUAUAUCCCAAACGUGUGGCAGCUAGGAUCCAGCUCUUGUAAUCCAAUUCAUACUAGAAUCAAAAUUUUAUUAGCUAGCCAGUGAUAAGUGCUUGGAGGAUGCUGCGUGGUACACAAGGCUAAGGAAAACAAGGAGAAGUCAUGAUAGCUGUCCUUCGUUUCUGCAUCAAUUUUCUUGAGGGUCCUUUAUUAUCAACCGCAAAUUGAAGACUAGAAGAUUUGAAGCUUUUGGCAUAGAUGAGAUCAUGGUAGGCAACAGUUUGAGAACUUUGUCUUGUUCAGUAUGUUCUUAAACAAUAGAAUCUUAACCGCAGUUGACAUUUAUGGCGGGUUGCUAUGUGAUCCUCACACGCAAUGACGCCAUGAAAGCCCCACUUUAUUGAAGCCAAGCUUUCUUGUUGGAGGAUUUUGUUCGCCUACAGCAUUGGACUUAAUUGCUGCUGUAUGAAAUUGUUGUACCUUCUGCGCUGCCCGUAUCUGCAACUCGAUUCCGGCCUUAUCACUGUACGCCUACUCUUUCUUUCUCCCUCUCUUUCCUCUGUGGAUAUACUGCUCAUUUCACUAAAGCAGUCGGUGGUGGAGCCUUAAAUAUUUUAUUGUUGUAAACACUGAAACAUCAUUAUCAAACUCAAACACUAAUCAGGUCGAUAUCUUUAUAUAUAGUUAUGUGACUUAGA
This is a long non-coding RNA of Prosopis cineraria, 843 nucleotides long. RefSeq lists it as uncharacterized. The transcript is spliced from 3 exons. The record is from RefSeq and is a predicted model, not a curated record. NCBI's taxonomy places the organism in Eukaryota, Viridiplantae, Streptophyta, Magnoliopsida, Fabales, Fabaceae.